UGGGGAAUCUUGGACAAUGGGGGCAACCCUGAUCCAGCCAUGCCGCGUGGGUGAUGAAGGCCUUAGGGUCGUAAAGCCCUUUCGCCGGGGAAGAUAAUGACGGUACCCGGUAAAGAAGCCCCGGCUAACUCCGUGCCAGCAGCCGCGGUAAUACGGAGGGGGCUAGCGUUGUUCGGAAUGACUGGGCGUAAAGCGCGCGUAGGCGGAUCAGGAAGUUGGGGGUGAAAUCCCGGGGCUCAACCUCGGAAUGGCCUUCAAAACUCCUGGUCUUGAGUUCGAGAGAGGUGAGUGGAAUUCCGAGUGUAGAGGUGAAAUUCGUAGAUAUUCGGAGGAACACCAGUGGCGAAGGCGGCUCACUGGCUCGACACUGACGCUGAGGUGCGAAAGCGUGGGGGAGCAAACAGGAUUAGAUACCCUGGUAGUCCACGCCGUAAACGAUGAAUGCCAGACGUCGGGGGGCUUGCCCUUCGGUGUCACACCUAACGGAUUAAGGCAUUCCGCCUGGGGGAGUACGGUCGCAAGAUUAAAACUCAAAUGAAUUGACGGGGUCAUAGCUGUUUCC
Molecule: ribosomal RNA, 562 nt
Filed under: uncultured bacterium
Lineage: Bacteria
Description: partial 16S ribosomal RNA
Rfam family: Bacterial small subunit ribosomal RNA
Source: RNAcentral